AUUGAACGCUGGCGGCAGGCCUAACACAUGCAAGUCGAGCGCGAAAGUCUUCGGAUGAGUAAAGCGGCGAACGGGUGAGUAAUGCAUGGGAAUCUGCCUGGUGGUGGGGGACAACGUCUCGAAAGGGACGCUAAUACCGCAUACGCCCUACGGGGAAAGGGGGGGAUCUUCGGACCUCUCGCUAUCAGAUGAGCCCAUGUCAGAUUAGCUAGUUGGUGAGGUAAAGGCUCACCAAGGCGACGAUCUGUAACUGGUCUGAGAGGAUGAUCAGUCACACUGGAACUGAGACACGGUCCAGACUCCUACGGGAGGCAGCAGUGGGAAUAUUGGACAAUGGGGGCAACCCUGAUCCAGCCAUGCCGCGUGUGUGAAGAAGGCCCUAGGGUUGUAAAGCACUUUCAGUGGGAGAAAGGUUAUUCACCUAAUACGUGAGUAGAUUGAUGUUACCCACAGAAGAAGCACCGGCUAAACUCC
Molecule: ribosomal RNA, 474 nt
Filed under: uncultured bacterium
Lineage: Bacteria
Description: bacterial SSU rRNA
Rfam family: Bacterial small subunit ribosomal RNA
Source: RNAcentral